Molecule: transfer RNA, 74 nt
Filed under: Firmicutes bacterium CAG:631
Lineage: Bacteria; Bacillati; Bacillota
Rfam family: tRNA
About the family: Transfer RNA (tRNA) molecules are approximately 80 nucleotides in length. Their secondary structure includes four short double-helical elements and three loops (D, anti-codon, and T loops).
Source: Rfam by way of RNAcentral
CGGAAAGUAGCUUAGUUUGGUAAAGCGCUACGUUCGGGACGUAGAGACCGUGAGUUCAAAUCUCAUCUUUCCGA